ACGCAUUAUUUAAAAGCUAAGUGUUAAGUUUGACCCUCACACUCAAGCAUGCCGUUGACAUCAUUCUUCUUCCAAGCAACCGUGUUUCUUUCUAGCCAUGCAUAUCAAAAACAAAGAAAAUAUUCAUGUGUUGCAUCUAUUUAAAUUAUUUUAUUCAAUAGAUACAAUAAGUAGAUGCAUUAACUCAACUAAAUAACAAUAUUCCAAAUUGCUCUAUCUCCUUCUCCGCAUGUGUUGUGAACAUCUUUCAUCCUCGCCACU
Molecule: long non-coding RNA, 261 nt
Filed under: Phoenix dactylifera (date palm)
Lineage: Eukaryota; Viridiplantae; Streptophyta; Magnoliopsida; Arecales; Arecaceae
Description: long non-coding RNA (PDAC_LNC004056)
Source: RNAcentral